Molecule: non-coding RNA, 80 nt
Organism: Xylaria venustula
Lineage: Eukaryota; Fungi; Ascomycota; Sordariomycetes; Xylariales; Xylariaceae
Source: the annotation of a GenBank genome assembly
GGGCAUGUAGGGUAACUGGUAACGCCCGGGAUCUCAUUAUCCGGCACCCGGAGUUGUCGGUUCGACCCGGGCCAUGUCCA